Long non-coding RNA from Myotis brandtii (Brandt's bat), 416 nucleotides. RefSeq lists it as uncharacterized. Lineage: Eukaryota; Metazoa; Chordata; Mammalia; Chiroptera; Vespertilionidae. The record is from RefSeq and is a predicted model, not a curated record. The transcript has 4 exons.
CAGCAGAUGUAGUCAUGAAGGAAACUGGUUGGAACUAAGCACCCAGAAGGGAUGGAAAUUUUAAUGCUUUAUAUAGCAAGCCUGGCUGCACAAAAGAAUAAUCUGGAAAGCUUUUUAAAAAUGCUGACUCCUGUACCCCACCUCAGCCACUGUGGAAGCUGAAAAUAGAAAAGUCAGAAUAAAAUGAUGGGGCAGGUCACAGACAACACAGGAGCCAGUUUGACCAAAUCAGGGUCUCUGAGGGUGGAGCCUAGGCACUGUUAGAUGUGCAAACUCUCAAGAGUGGAGAAGCAAGAGGAGUGGUUUCCUUUCAUCCACUAACAGUAAUUAAAACAAUGCAACAAUACCAGAAUCACUUAGAGUUGGUGCUCCAUUUCUACAUCUUAAAAGUCAGAGAGGUAAGAAAGGACCACAUG